AACGAACGCUGGCGGCAUGCCUAACACAUGCAAGUCGAACGAGACCUUCGGGUCUAGUGGCGCACGGGUGCGUAACGAGUGGGAACCUGCACUUAGGUUAGGAAUACCUCACCGAAAGGGGUGCUAAUACCGGAUAAUGUCUUAGGACCAAAGAUUUAUUGCCUUUGGAUGGGCCCGCGUUGGAUUCGUUAGUUGGUAGGGUAAAAGCCUACCAAGGCGACGAUCCAUAGCUGGUCUGAGAGGAUGAUCAGCCACACUUGGAAUGAGGCACGGCCCAGUCUGCGACGGGAGGGAGCAGAAGGUAACAUUGGAGGAUGGGGGAAAGCCUGAUCCAGCAACGCCGGGUGAGUGAUGAAUGGCGUAGUGUAGUAAAGCUCUUUUACCCGAGAUGAUAAUGACGGUACCGGGUGAAUAAGCUCCGGCUAACUCCGUG
RNAcentral lists this ribosomal RNA (433 nucleotides) under uncultured bacterium. RNAcentral's name for it is "partial 16S ribosomal RNA". It matches the Rfam family "Bacterial small subunit ribosomal RNA", at positions 29 to 507 of the family's 1533-position model. The record is from RNAcentral.